Molecule: transfer RNA, 91 nt
Filed under: Pleomorphomonas sp. SM30
Lineage: Bacteria; Pseudomonadati; Pseudomonadota; Alphaproteobacteria; Hyphomicrobiales; Pleomorphomonadaceae
Also listed under: 1 other name
Description: tRNA-Arg
Source: RNAcentral
GUGGUCGUUGGGGUGGACCGGGCUCUUGCCGCCGCGGGCGCCGCCGAGCCGCUCGUUGGCGAGGCUGGCGAUCACCUCGUUGACGUUCAUG